Molecule: ribosomal RNA, 301 nt
Filed under: uncultured bacterium
Lineage: Bacteria
Description: partial 16S ribosomal RNA
Rfam family: Bacterial small subunit ribosomal RNA
Source: RNAcentral
CAGUCGCCGCGGUAAUACGUAGGUGGCAAGCGUUGUCCGGAAUUAUUGGGCGUAAAGGGCUCACAGGCGGUUUCUUAAGUCUGAUGUGAAAGCCCCCGGCUCAACCGGGGAGGGUCAUUGGAAACUGGGAAACUUGAGUGCAGAAGGGGAGAGUGGAAUUCCACGUGUAGCGGUGAAAUGCGUAGAGAUGUGGAGGAACACCAGUGGCGAAGGCGACUCUCUGGUCUGUAACUGACGCUGAGGAGCGAAAGCGUGGGGAGCGAACAGGAUUAGAUACCCCCGUAGUCCCUGUCUCUUAUAC